CACGUAGGCGGACUGGAAAGUUGGAGGUGAAAUCCCAGGGCUUAACUCUGGGACUGCUUUUGAAACUGUCAGACUGGAGUGCAGGAGAGGUAAGCGGAAUUCCUAGUGCAGCGGUGAAAUGCGUAGAUAUUAGGAGGAACAUCAGUGGCGAAGGCGGCUUACUGGACUGAAACUGACACUGAGGCACGAAAGCGUGGGAGCAAACA
Molecule: ribosomal RNA, 206 nt
Filed under: uncultured bacterium
Lineage: Bacteria
Description: partial 16S ribosomal RNA
Rfam family: Bacterial small subunit ribosomal RNA
Source: RNAcentral